This 465-nucleotide ribosomal RNA is filed under the name Vreelandella stevensii. Its description in RNAcentral is "partial 16S ribosomal RNA". It matches the Rfam family "Bacterial small subunit ribosomal RNA", at positions 338 to 795 of the family's 1533-position model. The record is from RNAcentral. Lineage: Bacteria; Pseudomonadati; Pseudomonadota; Gammaproteobacteria; Oceanospirillales; Halomonadaceae.
CCUACGGGUGGCUGCAGUGGGGAAUAUUGGACAAUGGGGGCAACCCUGAUCCAGCCAUGCCGCGUGUGUGAAGAAGGCCCUCGGGUUGUAAAGCACUUUCAGUGAGGAAGAACGCCUGGUGGUUAAUACCCAUCAGGAAAGACAUCACUCACAGAAGAAGCACCGGCUAACUCCGUGCCAGCAGCCGCGGUAAUACGGAGGGUGCGAGCGUUAAUCGGAAUUACUGGGCGUAAAGCGCGCGUAGGUGGCUUGAUAAGCCGGUUGUGAAAGCCCCGGGCUCAACCUGGGAACGGCAUCCGGAACUGUCAAGCUAGAGUGCAGGGGAGGAAGGUAGAAUUCCCGGUGUAGCGGUGAAAUGCGUAGAGAUCGGGAGGAAUACCAGUGGCGAAGGCGGCCUUCUGGACUGACACUGACACUGAGGUGCGAAAGCGUGGGUAGCAAACAGGAUUAGAUACCCUAGUAGUC